GUAUGAAAUAAGCAAGAAAACAAUGUGAACAAGGGACAAAAUUGGAAUUAGCAUAAAAGUUAAUAGUUAAAAAAAUGAUGUGAUUGAAAAUCUAGACAUUUCUUCAUCUUUCUCAGCCAGAAACACCGUAAUAGGUCUCCUAUGCUGGUUUUUCAUAUUUUUGCACCAUAUCAAGAAUCCAAAGAAGAACGAGGAAAAGAAAAAGUAAAGGACUAAAGUGUAAGGUUUAGUCACAUUUUGUAUCAAGUACUUAUCUAGUCACUCGGGGAUCGAAGGAAAUGUCGGAGGCCGAUCACACUAUCAAAGAAAUAACUCCGUAUAACUAGUCGUUUUGUUUUGGGUAUGGCAUGUAUAGAAACUUAGCUACUUUUGGUAUAAUAUGAAUAAUGAAUGAUGUGUAAAUACUUGCUAGUGAUUAGCUAAGAAAAUAGCUGAUGAUAUACAUGUUUAUUAAUAUGUAUGAUUGAAUGAUGAUUAUCACAUGAAAA
Molecule: long non-coding RNA, 488 nt
Organism: Gossypium arboreum
Lineage: Eukaryota; Viridiplantae; Streptophyta; Magnoliopsida; Malvales; Malvaceae
Exons: 3
Source: RefSeq, a predicted model, not a curated record